AAGUCGUAACAAGGUUUCCGUAGGUGAACCUGCGGAAGGAUCAUUAACACGUAUCCACGUAUUAACCCAUUGUGAACUGGUUUUCAACCUUCUCCCUACAUCAUGAAGGAAUUGGAAUGAUAUGAUAUCAUAUCUAUGAUAGGAUGUUAUUUUACUAUAAUAUCUGUAUGUGUCAUAUAUCUUCAUCUUUAUGAUGACCAAUUGUAUCAUAUAUGUUAGGCAUAUUUUUGCUACUAAUGUUUAGUCGAUCUAUCAUACCGACUCAUUAGUGGUUAUAAUCAUAAACAUUUUUCACCACAUUUUUGCUAGUUGACUUUUAUAUGUUGAUUUUGAUACCUUCGCGGUAUGAUGAUCACACGUUACUUAAUUGAACGUUAAAACAAACAACUCUUAGCAAUGGAUAUCUUGGUUCUC
Molecule: unclassified non-coding RNA, 414 nt
Filed under: fungal sp.
Lineage: Eukaryota; Fungi
Description: partial internal transcribed spacer region
Rfam family: Eukaryotic small subunit ribosomal RNA (bases 1-46)
Source: RNAcentral